RNAcentral lists this transfer RNA (72 nucleotides) under Camelus bactrianus (Bactrian camel). It matches the Rfam family "tRNA". From Rfam's summary of the family: Transfer RNA (tRNA) molecules are approximately 80 nucleotides in length. Their secondary structure includes four short double-helical elements and three loops (D, anti-codon, and T loops). Further hydrogen bonds mediate the characteristic L-shaped molecular structure. tRNAs have two regions of fundamental functional importance: the anti-codon, which is responsible for specific mRNA codon recognition, and the 3' end, to which the tRNAs corresponding amino acid is attached (by aminoacyl-tRNA synthetases). tRNAs cope with the degeneracy of the genetic code in two manners: having more than one tRNA (with a specific anti-codon) for a particular amino acid; and 'wobble' base-pairing, i.e. permitting non-standard base-pairing at the 3rd anti-codon position. The record is from Rfam by way of RNAcentral. Lineage: Eukaryota; Metazoa; Chordata; Mammalia; Artiodactyla; Camelidae. RNAcentral also lists the same sequence under 2 other names.
GUGAGUAUAGCUCAGUGGCAGAGUGCAUACUUAGCAUGAAUGAGGGCCUGGGUUCAAUCCCCAGUAAGUACC